RNAcentral lists this ribosomal RNA (253 nucleotides) under uncultured bacterium. RNAcentral's name for it is "partial 16S ribosomal RNA". It matches the Rfam family "Bacterial small subunit ribosomal RNA", at positions 524 to 776 of the family's 1533-position model. The record is from RNAcentral.
UACGAAGGGGGCUAGCGUUGCUCGGAAUCACUGGGCGUAAAGCGCACGUAGGCGGCUUUCUAAGUCAGGGGUGAAAUCCUGGAGCUCAACUCCAGAACUGCCUUUGAUACUGGAGAGCUUGAGUCCGGAAGAGGUGAGUGGAACUCCGAGUGUAGAGGUGAAAUUCGUAGAUAUUAGCUAGAACACCAGUGGCGAAGGCGGCCAACUGGUCCGGCACUGACGCUGAGGUGCGAAGGCCAGGGGAGCAAACGGG